Long non-coding RNA from Pungitius pungitius (ninespine stickleback), 457 nucleotides. RefSeq lists it as uncharacterized. NCBI's taxonomy places the organism in Eukaryota, Metazoa, Chordata, Actinopteri, Perciformes, Gasterosteidae. The record is from RefSeq and is a predicted model, not a curated record. The transcript has 3 exons.
GUUUAGCCUAGCCUGCUGCACUGACAGCCCCCUGUGCCCACCCCCACCACACUUCGGCCCCCGUACAGUGCUGCUCACUGCGGACUUAAGAGUGCACCGGAAACCGUCCAGAGACCUCCGACACGGACAGAAAGCCAACCAGCCUCGUCAUGGGUCAUCUCCACAAAGAAACCGAAACCGACCGCCACAAAGAUCCUGGACGAGUCCUCCCUGACAGAAGAAGAAGAAGAAGAAAAAGAAGAGGCUUCUGGGUAAUGAUUUAAGCCUGGACGAAGAAGUUACAGCCGAGAUCAACAUCAGUCUUCAGCUGAGAACCGGAAUGCUGCAGGGACAUAUGUACAGAGAGAACUUUGAUUAAAAAGAUUCUUUUCCCCAAAUUCUAUUAAACAGAUGUUUUUCUUCAUUUAGUAAGAUAUUGAAUCAUUGAGGUAAGAAGACAUCCUAAAUGUUCAUCAUA